This is a long non-coding RNA of Cyprinus carpio carpio, 2331 nucleotides long. Lineage: Eukaryota; Metazoa; Chordata; Actinopteri; Cypriniformes; Cyprinidae. The record is from Ensembl.
AUGGCGGUCGGGAUGGGUUAUAACGAUGCAGCACUGAAGGACUUUUUUAACAACUGUCUGGAUGACCCUUUACCUCAAUGGGAGAUGAAGGGGCUGGAGAUCCUAGACUUUUGGGGGUUUACCCAUUACCUGUGCCAUCGUGCUCAAUGGGAUACUUCGACCACACCUGUGUCUCCAGAGAAGAGGGCCGCCAGCCCAGCGCCACAGCACAAGAUGGCCACCAACCCAGCGCCACAGCACAAGAUGGCCGCCAGCCCGGCGCCACAGCACAAGAUGGCCGCCAGUUCAGCACCACAGCACAAGAUGGCCGCCAGCCCAGCGCCACAGCACAAGAUGGCCGCCAGCCCAGCACCACUGCACAGGAGGGUCGAAUCUACACCUGUGUUGGCAGACAAGAUGGUUGACUCAACGCCUGAGUCUUCCGUCAAGGAGCCACCGGCACGUCAUCAUAGAGGCCGCAGGAGGAGGAGACAGGCGUCAGCCGUUCCUCAAAGCCCGGAGGACGUUCCCGAGCAGGCCGCUGCCGUCCAGGAGGACGUUCCCGAGCAGGCCGCUGCCGUCCAGGAGGACGUUCCCGAGCAGGCCGCGGUCGUCCAGAUGGAGGUGUCCAAGGUUCCCGAGGCGGUGCCCGAUGCCGAGGCCGUUCCCGAUGCCAGGGCGGUGCCCGAGGCGGUCCCCGAUGCCGAGGCGGUGCCCGAUGCCGAGGCGGUGCCCGAUGUAAUGCCCGAGACCGAGGCUGUUCCGGAGGUGCCCGAUGUUGUUCCCGAUACCGAGGCGGUGCCCGAUGCCGAGGCGGUGCCCGAGGCGGUUCCCGAUGCCGAGGCGGUGCCCGAUGCGGUGCCCGAUGCCGAGGCGGUUCCCGAUGCGGUGCCCGAUGCCGAGGCGGUGCCCGAGGCGGUGCCCGUUGCCGAGGCGGUGCCCGUUGCCGAGGCGGUGCCCGAUGUUGUUCCGGAGGCCGAGGCGGUGCCCGAUGCGCAGGCCGAGGUCGUUCCCGAGGCGGUGUCCUUGUCCAACGCCGUUCCUGAGGCCAUUCCUGAGGCCGUUCCUGAGACCGGUCUCGAGGCGGUGCCCGAUGCCGAGGUCGUUCCCGAGGCGGUGUCCUUGUCCGAUGCCGUUCCGAGGCCAUUCCUGAGGCCGUUCCUGAGCCGGUCCCGAGGCGGUGCCCGAUGCCGAGGUCGUUCCCCGAGGCGGUGUCCUUGUCCGAUGCCGUUCCUGAGGCCAUUCCCGAGGCGGUGCCCGAUGCUGUUCCGGAGGCCGAUGCGGGGCCCGAGAUGGUUCCGGAGGCGAUACCCGUGUCCAAGGCCGUUCCCGAGGCGGUGCCCUUGUCUGAGGCCGUUCCCGAUGCCGUUCCCAAUGCCGUGACCUGGCCAUCGCCACAGCCUGCUCCUUACUGGCUCCCCGAUUGGCAGGUUCCGUUCGGGCCACUCAAAUGGCGAAUUCCUCCCUGGCCGUCUGCACAACGAGAAUGGACUGAUCCACCGUGGCCACCUGAACUGCCUGGCCCCUCGUGGUCCCCCUGAACUUGCGGGUCCACCGUGGCCACCUGAACUGACCGAGCCACCUGGGCUACCAGGGGAGCCAUCACUGCCGGUCCCAGUUCCCCUACACGGGCCUGGCCCGCCAUCCCUCCCCCUGUUCUGCCUCCACCAGUCCACCUCCCUCCUGGUCUCUUUGUUUUUUGGUUAUUUUGUUCUGAGGAGCAUCUGGAAGCUGCUCCUUAGAGGGGGGGUAGUGUCACGGUGUCUGUUCUGUGUCUCCCUGGGUGGCCACUAGAGGUCUCACUUCCCCUUAUCGUCACUCCACUUUAGAACUGCAUUUCCCAUAGUCUUGUCUGUUUCAUCACUGCUCAUUGCACUCAGCUGUCCGUGGUUAUCAAUCAUUGCACUCAGCCAAUUCCCCGUUAGCAUUGUCAUUUCCUUGUGUAUAAAUACCCCGGUUGUUCUGUCAUUGUCACGGAGUCCUUGUUGAAUGUCACCCUGGUUUGUCGUGGUUCUCGGAUGUUGUGUAUGUUUCUUGUUUCUGGACUGCUUACCUGGAUUGUGACCUUUGCCUGGCUGACCAUGAGAUUUGGAUUAUCCUAAUAAAACAUACUGCAAUUGGAUCUACCUGUUUGUGUGCGUGUCGUGACAAGACCAUGCCUUCGUGUUGUUUUAUGAUUUAAUACUCUCCUUGCUGCGCUACACUGCUAUCCACCUUUUUCUUGUCGUAAAAAUUGGCGCAGCCAUUUGUAAAUUCUAUGAGUCUGGCUUCCGGUCUCAUCUGCGUCCACUCCGUCCAGCUAUUUUUAACUGAACAAAACAGUUCAUUUUGCUGCUUGAUAUUGAAAGUUGG